This 82-nucleotide non-coding RNA is filed under the name Compsopogon caeruleus. The record is from RNAcentral. Lineage: Eukaryota; Rhodophyta; Compsopogonophyceae; Compsopogonales; Compsopogonaceae.
AAAAAGAAAAAAAAAAAAGAAAGGUCCUUGAACAGAAUUGAUAUUGUUUUGGAUUUAUCGAUUUUAUGUUGUUGUUGUUGUU